This 227-nucleotide ribosomal RNA is filed under the name uncultured Streptococcaceae bacterium. RNAcentral's name for it is "partial 16S ribosomal RNA". It matches the Rfam family "Bacterial small subunit ribosomal RNA", at positions 112 to 334 of the family's 1533-position model. Lineage: Bacteria; Bacillati; Bacillota; Bacilli; Lactobacillales; Streptococcaceae. The record is from RNAcentral.
AACGCGUAGGUAACCUACCUACUAGCGGGGGAUAACUAUUGGAAACGAUAGCUAAUACCGCAUAACAGCAUUUAACCCAUGUUAGAUGCUUGAAAGGAGCAAUUGCUUCACUAGUAGAUGGACCUGCGUUGUAUUAGCUAGUUGGUGAGGUAACGGCUCACCAAGGCGACGAUACAUAGCCGACCUGAGAGGGUGAUAGGCCACACUGGGACUGAGACACGGCCCAG